UACGAGAGGCCCAAACGUUAUUCGGAAUUACUGGGCUUAAAGAGUUCGUAGGCGGCGCAGAAAGUAGGGUGUGAAAGCCCUCGGCUUAACCGAGGAAUUGCGCUCUAAACUACUGUGCUUGAGGAAUCUAGAGGUGAGCGGAACUGAUGGUGGAGCGGUGAAAUGCGUUGAUAUCAUCAGGAACACCGGAGGCGAAGGCGGCUCACUGGGGAUUUUCUGACGCUGAGGAACGAAAGCCAGGGGAGCGAACAGG
Molecule: ribosomal RNA, 253 nt
Filed under: uncultured bacterium
Lineage: Bacteria
Description: partial 16S ribosomal RNA
Rfam family: Bacterial small subunit ribosomal RNA
Source: RNAcentral